RNAcentral lists this ribosomal RNA (427 nucleotides) under uncultured bacterium. RNAcentral's name for it is "bacterial SSU rRNA". It matches the Rfam family "Bacterial small subunit ribosomal RNA", at positions 330 to 774 of the family's 1533-position model. The record is from RNAcentral.
CCCAGACUCCUACGGGAGGCAGCAGUGGGGAAUAUUGCACAAUGGGGGAAACCCUGAUGCAGCGACGCCGCGUGAGUGAAGAAGUAUUUCGGUAUGUAAAGCUCUACCAGCAGGGAAGAAAAUGACGGUACCUGAUUAAGAAGCCCCGGCUAACUACGUGCCAGCAGCCGCGGUAAUACGUAGGGGGCAAGCGUUAUCCGGAUUUACUGGGUGUAAAGGGAGCGUAGGCAGCAGCACAAGUCUGGAGUGAAAUGCCGGGGCUUAACCCCGGAACUGCUUUGGAAACUGUGCAGCUAGAGUGCAGGAGAGGUAAGUGGAAUCCCUAGUGUAGCGGUGAAAUGCGUAGAUAUUAGGAGGAACACCAGUGGCGAAGGCGGCUUACUGGACUGUAACUGACGUUGAGGCUCGAAAGCGUGGGGAGCAAACA